RNAcentral lists this ribosomal RNA (253 nucleotides) under uncultured bacterium. RNAcentral describes it as "partial 16S ribosomal RNA". It matches the Rfam family "Bacterial small subunit ribosomal RNA", at positions 524 to 776 of the family's 1533-position model. The record is from RNAcentral.
UACGUAGGUGACAAGCGUUAUCCGGAUUUACUGGGUGUAAGGGGCGUGUAGGCGGGGACGCAAGUCAGAUGUGAAAACCACGGGCUCAACCUGUGGCCUGCAUUUGAAACUGUGUUUCUUGAGUACUGGAGAGGCAGACGGAAUUCCUAGUGUAGCGGUGAAAUGCGUAGAUAUUAGGAGGAACACCAGUGGCGAAGGCGGUCUGCUGGACAGCAACUGACGCUGAGGCGCGAAAGCGUGGGGAGCAAACAGG